GACAAACGCUGGCGGCGUGCUUAACACAUGCAAGUCGAACGGAAAGGCCCUGCUUUUGUGGGGUGCUCGAGUGGCGAACGGGUGAGUAACACGUGAGUAACCUGCCCUUGACUUUGGGAUAACUUCAGGAAACUGGGGCUAAUACCGGAUAGGAGCUCCUGCUGCAUGGUGGGGGUUGGAAAGUUUCGGCGGUUGGGGAUGGACUCGCGGCUUAUCAGCUUGUUGGUGGGGUAGUGGCUUACCAAGGAUUUGACGGGUAGCCGGCCUGAGAGGGUGACCGGCCACAUUGGGACUGAGAUACGGCCCAGACUCCUACGGGAGGCAGCAGUGGGGAAUAUUGCACAAUGGGCGGAAGCCUGAUGCAGCAACGCCGCGUGCGGGAUGACGGCCUUCGGGUUGUAAACCGCUUUCGCCUGUGACGAAGCGUGAGUGACGGUAAUGGGUAAAGAAGCACCGGCUAACUACGUG
RNAcentral lists this ribosomal RNA (468 nucleotides) under uncultured bacterium. Its description in RNAcentral is "partial 16S ribosomal RNA". It matches the Rfam family "Bacterial small subunit ribosomal RNA", at positions 28 to 507 of the family's 1533-position model. The record is from RNAcentral.